RNAcentral lists this ribosomal RNA (513 nucleotides) under uncultured bacterium. Its description in RNAcentral is "partial 16S ribosomal RNA". It matches the Rfam family "Bacterial small subunit ribosomal RNA", at positions 28 to 523 of the family's 1533-position model. The record is from RNAcentral.
GACGAAUGCUGGCGGCGUGCCUAAUACAUGCAAGUUGAGCGAUGAAGAUUGGUGCUUGCACCAAUUUGAUGAGCAGCGAACGGGUGAGUAACGCGUGGGGAAUCUGCCUUUGAGCGGGGGACAACAUUUGGAAACGAAUGCUAAUACCGCAUAACAACUUUAAACAUAAGUUUUAAGUUUGAAAGAUGCAAUUGCAUCACUCAAAGAUGAUCCCGCGUUGUAUUAGCUAGUUGGUGAGGUAAAGGCUCACCAAGGCGAUGAUACAUAGCCGACCUGAGAGGGUGAUCGGCCACAUUGGCACUGAGACACGGCCCAAACUCCUACGGGAGGCAGCAGUAGGGAAUCUUCGGCAAUGUACGAAAGUCUGACCGAGCAACGCCGCGUGAGUGAAGAAGGUUUUCGGAUCGUAAAACUCUGUUGGUAGAGAAGAACGUUGGUGAGAGUGGAAAGCUCAUCAAGUGACGGUAACUACCCAGAAAGGGACGGCUAACUACGUGCCAGCCGCCGCCGUAA